CUACGGGGCGCAGCAGUGGGGAAUAUUGCACAAUGGAGGAAACUCUGAUGCAGCAACGCCGCGCAGAGGAUGACACUUUUCGGAGCGUAAACUCCUUUUAUAUAGGAAGAAGAUGACGGUACUAUAUGAAUAAGCGCCGGCUAACUCCGUGCCAGCAGCCGCGGUAAUACGGAGGGCGCAAGCGUUACUCGGAAUCACUGGGCGUAAAGAGCGUGUAGGCGGAUUAAAAAGUCAGAAGUGAAAUCCUAUAGCUUAACUAUAGAACUGCUUCUGAAACUCUUAAUCUAGAAUAUGGGAGAGGUAGAUGGAAUUUCUGGUGUAGGGGUAAAAUCCGUAGAGAUCAGAAGGAAUACCGAUUGCGAAGGCGAUCUACUAGAACAUUAUUGACGCUGAGACGCGAAAGCGUGGGGAGCAAACAGGAUUAGAUACCCCGGUAGUC
This 439-nucleotide ribosomal RNA is filed under the name uncultured bacterium. Its description in RNAcentral is "partial 16S ribosomal RNA". It matches the Rfam family "Bacterial small subunit ribosomal RNA", at positions 339 to 795 of the family's 1533-position model. The record is from RNAcentral.